AUCAACUCUGCAAAUAGAAUAUAAACUGUACAUCAUACAAAUAUUUGAAAUAUAAAGAUUACAGGACUAACAUCCACUCCAAAUUUAAUCAUAUAUAUAUGUAAUCAAUGAUACUGAUCAAUGCGAAAGAUGAAGUCAUCACUGUGAGAUCAAACAUCGAAACAUUUAUGGUAUAGUUGUUUAAGGACUGGGAGUUGAUUGAGGAGGUUUUGUGUCCUUGGCAAGGAAUGUGGGCUUUGGUAACUCUGGCAAGUGGGGAAAAGUUGGCAGUUCAGGUUUUGGUAACUCAGGCAAUUCAAGUUUUGGCAAAGUGGGAAUUUCAGGCUUUGGCAACUCAGGCAAUUCAGGUUUUGGCAGUGUGGGAAGUUCAGGCUUAGGGAAGGCUGGGACUUCUGGUAAUGGUGGAAGCUCAACCUUAGGCAGUGAAGGCAAUUCAGGCUUGGGAAGCUCAGAUACCUCAGGCAAUGCUGUUUUUAGAAGGUGUCGUGCAUCUACGGAUUGACAGAGUGAUAAGUGAGAGCAUAAUGAUGAGGGAAGGGGAGCGAUGAUCGGCCAAAAUGCGACAAGAUCAACCACCUGCAAAGUGAAUAGUAAUUAAAAUUUCUGGACAAUUUUGUUUUGCGUGUUGAUGUUCACUUAGUGUUGAGCUUUUAUAGAAGUGGGAAGUGGAGAAUGGAGAACCUUCAAUGGUAAUUUGGUGGGAAAACUUGUGUCCUGUUAGCUCAACUUCCCAUCUAUAAUCCUCCAACAACUGGCAUGACCCAUUAUAGGCUUCCAUACAAAAGUAAUCUUUCCGUCCUUCUACAUGGAUUCAAGAGAUUAGUUGGAGAGAACCACAGCUAAAAGAUUGACAUUAAGCUAAAAUAUGUUGUCAGAAAUCACAACACUUGUCAAGUUCAAGCAUUUUUACAAAUUUAAUAAUUCACCACCACUAAACUUUGACAAAUCUUCCUUUAUUGCAACGCUUAUUGUUAUUGUUGGAAUUUAAUGACUGACCGAUCCAAAUCUCCAUGCGAUGAAAGUGUUGAAUUCCAAUUUAAUAUGAUGGCCUCUUCUAAAAUACUUCUAGACAAUUUAAAUUAAAUUUCAAUUAACUUAUCAUAUUAUAAAGCUUAUUAUUAUCAAUGUCAAGACUACGUUAUGAAAAAUAUCUUUCAUAUUUUUUGUUAUUUGGAAUAAUGAGAAAAAUUAAUCAAUAAAAAUAUUUUCUUGAUUAAAGAAAAAAUUAAAUCAUUUUAAAAAAAUACUGCUUCUUGGCUCUUUCUUUCUCAUCAAUUCUAUUUUCCUGUUGUGCUCUUCCAACAAAUCCAUAGUCACCAACUUGCCCUUUGAAAUUUAAAUUAUUGGACGACAUCAUCAACGAGAAUUCUAGCAAAGUUCUCUAAUAUUUUCUUCAUCAAUGUUGAAUUUUGAGAGGGAAGGGGAAUAAUACAUAUGAAUGCGACUAAAUAGUCUUACAAUUUUAUUGAUUGUAUUGUUAUUUAUACAGUCAAAUAUAAUUAAAAAAUCUAAAUAAAAUUAUAAAUAAUUUAAAUAUUAACUUAAAUAUUAAUAAAUUAAAAUAAUGAUUCAAAUUUAAAUUAUAUGAUUUAGCAUAUUUUUCGGUUUCUAAAUCAAAUAUCCAACGAUCAAUUUAAAAUUUUAGUACUCAUAAGCCCUUGGUAUUAUUAGAAACUCUCUUACUAAAAUUUUUUAAUAAUUAUAAAUAAAAAAGUUUUAUUUUUCUUUCAUAAUAUUAGAAAUAAAACCAUAUCAUUUAUUUUAUUUAAUUUGUAAUCGAAUUAAAUCGGUUGUUCAUGAUUUUUUGAAAAAUUAGAUUUAAAAUAAAAUGGAUAAUUUUUUAAUUUUAGGCCAUCAAUAAUUUUUAAGUUCAGUAAUUCAUAAUACUAAAAUUUUUUAAAAAAAUUCACAACAACAAUUUAAUUUUUAAGUUCAGUAAUAAUUUCUCUUUGUGGCUCUGCAUGAAAGUGCUUGGAUCAUGAACUAUUAAAUAAGAUUGAUCAGUCAUACCCAAAAUCAAAUAAAUAAGCUGGAUCAACUCAGUAUAUAGAAAAUGAACUCACAAGAUACAUCAUUCAAACAACUGAAACAGAAAUAUUAUAGGACUACCACUCACUGCAAAUUAAUCAUGUAUAUGUAAAAGAAGAUAUAAAUGAUACUGAUCAAUGCGAAAGAUGAAGUCAUCACUGUGAGAUCAAAUAUAGAAACACUUAUGGUGUAGUUGUUUAAGGACUGGUGGUUGAUUGAGGAGGUUUUGUGUCCUUAGAAGGCAAUGUGGGCUUUGGCAACUCAGGCAAGUGGGGAAAAGCUGGCAAUUCAGGCUUUGGCAACUCAGGCAAUUCAGGUUUUGGCAGUAUGGGAAGUUCAGGUUUAGGAAAGGUGGAGACUUCAGGUAAUGGUGGAAGCUCAACUUUAGGCAAUGAUGGCAACUCAGGCUUGGGAAGCUCAGGUACCUCAGGCAAUUCUGUCUCCAGAAGGUGUCGUGCAUCUACAGAGAUUGAUAGAGUGAUGAGUGAGAGCAUAAUGAUGAGGGAAGAGCGAAGAUCGGCCAUAAUGCUAU
This 2560-nucleotide long non-coding RNA is filed under the name Manihot esculenta (cassava). Its description in RNAcentral is "long non-coding RNA (MESC_LNC003822)". The record is from RNAcentral. Lineage: Eukaryota; Viridiplantae; Streptophyta; Magnoliopsida; Malpighiales; Euphorbiaceae.